RNAcentral lists this ribosomal RNA (406 nucleotides) under uncultured bacterium. Its description in RNAcentral is "partial 16S ribosomal RNA". It matches the Rfam family "Bacterial small subunit ribosomal RNA", at positions 30 to 526 of the family's 1533-position model. The record is from RNAcentral.
AUUGAACGCUGGCGGCAGGCCUAACACAUGCAAGUCGAACGAGCGGCGGACGGGUGAGUAAUGUAUGGGAAACUGCCUGAUGGAGGGGGAUAACUACUGGAAACGGUAGCUAAUACCGCAUACCAUCAGAUGUGCCCAGAUGGGAUUAGCUUGUGGGUGGGGUAAAGGUUCACCAAGGCGACGAUCCCUAGCGGGUCUGAGAGGUUGACCAUCCACACUGUGACUGCGACACGGUCCAGACGCCUACGGGAGGCAGCAGUGGUGAAUAUUGCACAAUGGGCGCAAGCCUGAUGCAGCCAGGCCGCGUGGAUGAAGAAGGCCUUCGGGUUGUAAAGUACUUUCAGCGGGGAGGCGUUACCCGCAGAAGAAGCACCGGCUAACGCCGUGCCAGCCGCCGCGGUAAUUC